GAUCUCGUGGCUCAAUGGCAGAGCAUCUGUCUUCGGAACAGAAGGUUGGGGGUUCGAUUCCCCCCGGGGUUA
Molecule: non-coding RNA, 72 nt
Organism: Cylindrotheca closterium
Lineage: Eukaryota; Bacillariophyta; Bacillariophyceae; Bacillariales; Bacillariaceae
Source: the annotation of a GenBank genome assembly